Molecule: long non-coding RNA, 244 nt
Filed under: Homo sapiens (human)
Lineage: Eukaryota; Metazoa; Chordata; Mammalia; Primates; Hominidae
Description: HSALNT0121804
Source: RNAcentral
GCAGUGUUACUGACUGGAUGACUGGCACUUAGAGUCCAGCACCCUGCUGAGAAACCAGCAACCCAUGUGAGGAUUCCAUGGCCAGCUGAGAUCACAAGACUCUUGAACAGAAGAAAUGCCAAGAGAGCUAGAAUCUUACAGAUGGUGGUAUUAAUAAUGGAGCAAACUAGAACCAAUGACAAAGACAUGAAGUCUGAAAAUAGCACAGAGAAUAUAAAUAUUGUGAGAUGAAUGUUCCCCCUUC